Molecule: transfer RNA, 73 nt
Filed under: Humisphaera borealis
Lineage: Bacteria; Pseudomonadati; Planctomycetota; Phycisphaerae; Tepidisphaerales; Tepidisphaeraceae
Description: tRNA-Thr
Rfam family: tRNA
About the family: Transfer RNA (tRNA) molecules are approximately 80 nucleotides in length.
Source: RNAcentral
GCCGCCUUAGCUCAGUUGGUAGAGCGGCGCAUUCGUAAUGCGCAGGUCAUCAGUUCAAGUCUGAUAGGCGGCU